Molecule: ribosomal RNA, 424 nt
Filed under: uncultured Gammaproteobacteria bacterium
Lineage: Bacteria; Pseudomonadati; Pseudomonadota; Gammaproteobacteria
Description: bacterial SSU rRNA
Rfam family: Bacterial small subunit ribosomal RNA
Source: RNAcentral
GAGUUUGAUCAUGGCUCAGAGUGAACGCUGGCGGUAGGCCUAACACAUGCAAGUCGAACGGCAGCACAGGAGAGCUUGCUCUCUGGGUGGCGAGUGGCGGACGGGUGAGGAAUACAUCGGAAUCUACCUUUUCGUGGGGGAUAACGUAGGGAAACUUACGCUAAUACCGCAUACGACCUACGGGUGAAAGUGGGGGACCGCAAGGCCUCACGCGAUUAGAUGAGCCGAUGUCCGAUUAGCUAGUUGGCGGGGUAAUGGCCCACCAAGGCGACGAUCGGUAGCUGGUCUGAGAGGAUGAUCAGCCACACUGGAACUGAGACACGGUCCAGACUCCUACGGGAGGCAGCAGUGGGGAAUAUUGGACAAUGGGCGCAAGCCUGAUCCAGCCAUACCGCGUGAAUGAAGAAGGCCUCGGUUGUAAGUU